UGCAAAGCGUAGCUUGUCAUUUUAUGCAAAGCCUAAAGUAUUUAAUCUUUCUCUGUUUCUUUGCUCGUUCUUCUUUUCCUGUGUGAUUCAUAACGAUGGCUCGCCGAAGUCGGAGCUCCGGAGGAAGUUCAGGUUCUCGUCCUACUACUGCCCGUCGACCCAACCCUCCCCAGCCCGCUGCUCCAGCUCCACCACCGCCUCCUGUACAUGGUGCUAAUGGAUCCAUGAUGGGAGGUUUUGGUGCUGCUGUUGUUGAUGGCUUGGCUUUCGGUACCGGUGGUGCCGUGGCUCACAGGGCUGUGGAUGCUGUCCUGGGCCCACGAGUUGUCCAUCAUGAAACUGCAGCUACUCCAGUGCCGAACACAAACAAUUAUGGUGAUGUGUGUGGUGGCCAAUCCAAGGCCUUACAAGAUUGCUUGAACAACUAUGGAAGUGACAUCAGCAAGUGCCAGUUCUACAUGGAUAUGUUGCAAGCAUGCCGCAGGGGCUAUGGGGCUGCAUUGGGUGCUUGAAGUUGAUUGUGAUGAAAUCCUUUUAUCCAUCUUGUAGUUAGUGUUUGAUAGGUGAUGUUUUGUCUUAAUCUUGUGAUCUGACGGAAACGGUUUUUUUAGCUGGUUCAACUCACCACUCUUAUGCAUGUUCUAAAGAAUAUAAACUAAACCUGGAAAGCUGAUUAGCAGUAUUUGAUUUUCCAAUUCUAUAUUUUGCUUAUGGUGGAUGA
RNAcentral lists this unclassified non-coding RNA (721 nucleotides) under Hevea brasiliensis (rubber tree). Lineage: Eukaryota; Viridiplantae; Streptophyta; Magnoliopsida; Malpighiales; Euphorbiaceae. The record is from RNAcentral.